Long non-coding RNA from Apis cerana (Asiatic honeybee), 1910 nucleotides. RefSeq lists it as uncharacterized. The record is from RefSeq and is a predicted model, not a curated record. NCBI's taxonomy places the organism in Eukaryota, Metazoa, Arthropoda, Insecta, Hymenoptera, Apidae.
AAUUCCUACGCACAAAUAAAAAAUUAUGCGUAAAAAGGUAUUUGAUUAUGUCAAGAAAUUUAAUUUAAUUCUUGGAAAAUAAAAAAAAAACUAAAUUAAAAAUCGACGAAAAACAGGCAAAGAUAAAAUGAUUAAAUUAAAAAUUAAUCGGAAAUUUCCUUUUCCAUAAUACUUCCACAAAUUUCCACCUAAUUCUCAAACUAACGAUGUAAUAAAUGAUGAUAAAUUUGGAAAUCAAAAUUGACACGAUUUUAUUAAUUAUUAAAAAAAAUUUAAGCCAAAUCUUUCACUCGCAAAUAUCAGAAGACCUCCUCUUCUCUCCCCCCUCUUAAUUUUCAAGAUAAUAACUUUUAAUCUAUAUAUAUUAUAUAAUAAGAAAAAUUCAUUUCAAAGGAUUAAAAAAAUCUCCAAGGACGUGUCCUUAUGUCCUGGUUCCCAGCCGGAGAAUAUUCCAUUAUCCCGUGGGGAGGCCGUAUCUUCACCGUCACGAAUCAAUUACGUCGUUCAUCGAUGCGGAUCAAAAGGGAAAAAACGCGCGUAAGACAAGAGAAAGAGAAAGAGAGAGAGAGAAAAAAUCUGGUUCCAUCGAUCAUCUCGCGGCAGGGAACGCCCGAGAUUGAGAUCGUCACGAUCCAGGAAAUCGGCGGAAAUGGGGGACUACUUCUCGACUCUUCCAUCCUCGGAUUUUCCCGGAUUUAUACCGCGUUACAUAAUGGCACCGUAUGGGGAAGAAAGGAAGAAAAGAAAAUAUAACGUCUAAUGUCUAAUGCACGGUUUCCGCUGAAGAUGGCAGUAAAGUGCUUUGAAACGUUUUCCAGAAAUGUUCCGAGAGGCAAUCGGAAUAGUAAUUGGCCAGCAGUGCUGUUACCUCUAUUGUUGAUGAAGGUCUAUUCGGUGAAUGGUAUCGAGUGGAUGGGGGUAUUUUAACGCGAUUAUUUCAAAGCUGGCUGAAAAAUAAUGGAAAUUUGUCCACUUACCUUUUAAAAGUGGUACCAAACGACCCCAGCAAGUGAUCGCACCUUUUCGAUUGAACUGACCCAAGGCAAGCUCCAUAUAAAACAAUGGAAUACCUCCUACUACUAACAUUAUACAAUAUGGAACCAGGAAAGCGCCUGUGAACACAAUUCACAACAUUUAUUUGUGAAUUGUAGUCAUUUUUUAUUAAGAAUUAAUAAAAAUUUAUUUAAACAAUACCAAAUAUAAUAUAAAAACGUAACAUAAAUAAAAGAAUAAUUUUUUUUAAUUUUUUGAAUAACAUUCAAAUAUUGAUCAGAUUAAUGCAUAAUCUUUGACAAUUGUGAUAAUGUAUCUUACAAAAAUAUAUUUCUUAAUAUUUUCAUUAUUUUAAAAUUGCGAUAAAAACAGUAAUUAACAAAAGAGACAAUGUUUGAUUUUGAAAAAUUUUUUAAUGGUUCAGAAUUACAAUUAAUUUCCGAUUAUUAAAAAUCUCUCAAAUAUUUUUCUGUCACAUAUUGAAUAAAUAUUGAAAUGAAAUUUCAUCGGAUAAUAAUUGGAAAAUCGUUGUUAAUAUCUUUAGUAAAAUCGAACACGUUCAAUUUAUAUUUGCAAACCACUGGUGGGAAACGUCCGGAUUCUUAUCAUCGUUGAUGACAUCUGCCGUGUGACAAGAGGCCGAUAUGAAGAGCGAGAAAAAAAAGUGAUGUGCGAGCCACUCGCAUCAUCGUGUUAGCUGCAUAACUGAAUUGCAGAAUAUUUAGAGCACCAGUGGCAGCAAGGUGCUUUUAGGUAUACGUAAUUCGAUAGUGAACUUUCGAAAAUGUAGCAGAGCAAUGGAUGAAAUGGUGAUUUUGAUAAAACUGAUUUAUCAAACGAUUAAACGGAUAAUAUUGGGGAUUUUUAAAUGAGUAAUAUUUAUACAGAUUAUAUGAAAUAAAUAAAUAUUAAAUAUA